RNAcentral lists this ribosomal RNA (1281 nucleotides) under Triticum aestivum (bread wheat). RNAcentral's name for it is "partial small subunit ribosomal RNA". Lineage: Eukaryota; Viridiplantae; Streptophyta; Magnoliopsida; Poales; Poaceae. The record is from RNAcentral.
AUGACCUGCGGCGACCUCCCCAGCUCGCCGGCGCCGGAGGUGGCGGCCCCGCUGGAGGACGAGAACCUCCUCCCGGAGAUCCUCGUCCGGCUAGCCCCGCUGCCGUCCGCCCUCCCUCGCGCCUCUCUCGUCUGCAAAAGCUGGCGCCGCCUCGUCACCGACCGCCGCUUCGUCCGCCGCUUCCGCGCGCACCACCUCCGCAGCCCACCUCCCCUGAUCGGCUUCUUCGAGGAGGUGAGCCGCAAACCCGACGCCCCGAACCCCGCCCCGGACGCCCCCGAAGUCCUCUCCUUCACCCCUAUCCUGGAUCACCCCGACCGCGUCCCGGUCGAGCGCUUCUCCCUGCGCCUCCACGACGGCAGCGGCCGCUCCAACAUCGGCUGCCGCGACGGCCUCGUGCUCCUCAUCGACCCGGCGGGCUUCGACAUCGAGGUCCUCGUGUGGGACCCCGUCACGGGCGACCAGCACCGCUUCCUCAUCCCCUGGGUGAUCGACGACGGCCAGGGCACCGAGAUCUUAAACGGGGCGGUCCUUCGCACCGCCGGAAUCCUCGACGAUCGCCCCUUCCGGUUCCAGGCGGUGUUGACCGGCGUCGACAGGCAGAACAAGCGGCUGUUCGCCUGCGUUUACUCGUCCGAGACCGGCAAAUGGGGCGAUCCAAUCUGGGUAUCCGCGGAUUUUACGAGCGGCGUAACCACCAUGAUUGAGAUGCGUGUUUCCAGUACCCUGGUCGGGAAUUCCCUCUACUGGUCCCUUUGCUCAAUUGCUUGGGAGGUAGCUGCCAUCCUUCAAUUUGAUUUGGAUACACAACACCUGGCUGUCAUACACUUACCCUGCUUGGGUAAGUGUAGUAGGAAUGGCAGCCGGACCUUCCGGGCUAUGCCCGUGGACGGUGGUGAGCUUGGCGUCCUUGAGCUGUUAGACGCCAACCUCCAUUUGUGGAAAAGGAAGAUCGACCGUGAUGGUGUUGUUUCAUGGGUGCUGGGGAAGACUAUUGGAUUGGAGGAACUUCUUUAUAUAGAUAAAAGGAAAAUGGGCCCAAUGAUGCUCGGGUAUUGCGAGGACAAUAAUGUGGUGUUUAUAUGGACAUAUCACGGCAUUUUCAUGGUCCAGCUUGAGUCACUGGAAGUGUACAAGCCUCCCAUACAGACAUUUUACUGUUUGGUUCAUCCAUUCACAAGUGUCUACACUGCAGACAUGGGCAUUGGUGGUGAACCUGAUGAAGCCAAAUUUCUGAGCAAUGCAAUGCAUAAGAAAUGUUCCCUUUACGACCAUUUUUGA